UGGGUAAUAUUGCACAAUGGGCGCAAGCCUGAUGCAGCCAUGCCGCGUGUAUGAAGAAGGCCUUCGGGUUGUAAAGUACUUUCAGUCGGGAGGAAGGUGGUAAGGUUAAUAACCUUAUCAAUUGACGUUACCGACAGAAGAAGCACCGGCUAACUCCGUGCCAGCAGCCGCGGUAAUACGGAGGGUGCAAGCGUUAAUCGGAAUUACUGGGCGUAAAGCGCACGCAGGCGGUUGAUUGAGUCAGAUGUGAAAUCCCCGGGCUUAACCCGGGAAUUGCAUCUGAUACUGGUCAGCUAGAGUCUUGUAGAGGGGGGUAGAAUUCCAUGUGUAGCGGUGAAAUGCGUAGAGAUGUGGAGGAAUACCGGUGGCGAAGGCGGCCCCCUGGACAAAGACUGACGCUCAGGUGCGAAAGCGUGGGGAGCAAACAGG
Molecule: ribosomal RNA, 429 nt
Filed under: Chloroflexota bacterium
Lineage: Bacteria; Bacillati; Chloroflexota
Description: Chloroflexi bacterium partial 16S ribosomal RNA
Rfam family: Bacterial small subunit ribosomal RNA
Source: RNAcentral